Molecule: ribosomal RNA, 279 nt
Filed under: uncultured bacterium
Lineage: Bacteria
Description: partial 16S ribosomal RNA
Rfam family: Bacterial small subunit ribosomal RNA
Source: RNAcentral
UGCCAGCCGCCGCGGUAAUACGAAGGGGGCUAGCGUUGUUCGGAAUCACUGGGCGUAAAGCGCGCGUAGGCGGACUAUUAAGUCAGGGGUGAAAUCCCGAGGCUCAACCUCGGAACUGCCUUUGAUACUGAUGGUCUCGAGUCCGGGAGAGGUGAGUGGAACUCCUAGUGUAGAGGUGAAAUUCGUAGAUAUUGGGAAGAACACCAGUGGCGAAGGCGGCUAACUGGCUCGGUACUGACGCUGAGAUGCGAAAGCGUGGGGAGCAAACAGGAUUAGAUA